GUGUGUGUGUGUGUGUGUCACCGCAUUUUAAAGGUCGCAAUUCACCAUUAGAAGUGACGUGUGUGAGUGCUUGACUGAGGAGGAGGAGGAGGAGGAGGAGGAACUUGCUGUGGUGAUUGAGGCAAGGGAGUGGAGAGAGACUGGAGAGAAGGAAGGUUAGAGAGGACAGACAAACAAGGAGGAGGAGGAGGAGGAGGAGGAAGAGGAGGAGGGAGAGAAAGACAGGCUGGGCUUGACCGUGACAAAUUCCUUUCUCUCUCUUUCCAAUCUUUCAAGCACCGAUGUAUUGUAACGUAUAUGGGGAUGGAAGAGCGUCGGUAACCAUACAAAAAAAAACUAAUAUUUACGUCGGUAAGCGUGAAUAUUGAGGAGUUAGAGAAAGAAAGGUUAGAGAAAGAAAGGUUAGAGAAAGAAAGGUUAGAGAAAGAAAGGUUAGAGAAAGAAAGGUUGGAGAAAGAAAGGUUGGAGAAAGAAAGGUUGGAGAAAGAAAGGUUGGAGAAAGAAAGGUUGGAGAAAGAAAGGUUGGAGAAAGAAAGGUUGGAGAAAGAAAGGUUGGAGAAAGAAAGGUUGGAGAAAGAAAGGUUGGAGAAAGAAAGGUUGGAGAAAGAAAGGUUGGAGAAAGAAAGGUUGGAGAAAGAAAGGUUGGAGAAAGAAAGGUUGGAGAAAGAAAGGUUGGAGAAAGAAAGGUUGGAGAAAGAAAGGUUGGAGAAAGAAAGGUUGGAGAAAGAAAGGUUGGAGAAAGAAAGGUUGGAGAAAGAAAGGUUGGAGAAAGAAAGGUUGGAGAAAGAAAGGUUGGAGAAAGAAAGGUUGGAGAAAGAAAGGUUGGAGAAAGAAAGGUUGGAGAAAGAAAGGUUGGAGAAAGAAAGGCUGGAGAAAGAAAGGCUGGAGAAAGAAAGGCUGGAGAAAGAAAGGCUGGAGAAAGAAAGGCUGGAGAAAGAAAGGCUGGAGAAAGAAAGGCUGGAGAAAGAAAGGCUGGAGAAAGAAAGGCUGGAGAAAGAAAGGCUGGAGAAAGAAAGGCUGGAGAAAGAAAGGCUAGAGAAAGAAAGGCUAGAGAAAGAAAGGCUGGAGAAAGAAAGGCUGGAGAAAGAAAGGCUGGAGAAAGAAAGGCUGGAGAAAGAAAGGCUGGAGAAAGG
Eriocheir sinensis (Chinese mitten crab) is the source of this 1133-nucleotide long non-coding RNA. RefSeq lists it as uncharacterized. NCBI's taxonomy places the organism in Eukaryota, Metazoa, Arthropoda, Malacostraca, Decapoda, Varunidae. The transcript has 3 exons. The record is from RefSeq and is a predicted model, not a curated record.